AACGAACGCUGGCGGCAUGCCUAACACAUGCAAGUCGAACGAGACCUUCGGGUCUAGUGGCGCACGGGUGCGUAACGCGUGGGAAUCUACCCUUGGGUUCGGAAUAACAGUUAGAAAUGACUGCUAAUACCGGAUGAUGACGUAAGUCCAAAGAUUUAUCGCCCAAGGAUGAGCCCGCGUAAGAUUAGCUUGUUGGUGGGGUAAUGGCCUACCAAGGCGACGAUCUUUAGCUGGUCUGAGAGGAUGAUCAGCCACACUGGGACUGAGACACGGCCCAGACUCCUACGGGAGGCAGCAGUGGGGAAUAUUGGACAAUGGGCGAAAGCCUGAUCCAGCAAUGCCGCGUGAGUGAUGAAGGCCUUAGGGUUGUAAAGCUCUUUUACCAGGGAUGAUAAUGACAGUACCUGGAGAAUAAGCUCCGGCUAACUCCGUGCCAGCCGCCGUUAAGA
This 449-nucleotide ribosomal RNA is filed under the name uncultured bacterium. RNAcentral describes it as "partial 16S ribosomal RNA". It matches the Rfam family "Bacterial small subunit ribosomal RNA", at positions 29 to 525 of the family's 1533-position model. The record is from RNAcentral.